RNAcentral lists this ribosomal RNA (600 nucleotides) under uncultured bacterium. RNAcentral describes it as "bacterial SSU rRNA". It matches the Rfam family "Bacterial small subunit ribosomal RNA", at positions 740 to 1343 of the family's 1533-position model. The record is from RNAcentral.
CUGACGCUAAAGCUCGAAAGCGCGGGUAUCGAACAGGAUUAGAUACCCUGGUAGUCCGCGCGGUAAACGAUGGAUGCUCGUUGUGCGGCCUUUUUGGCCGCGCGACCAAGCGAAAGCGUUAAGCAUCCCACCUGGGGAGUACGCCGGCAACGGUGAAACUCAAAGGAAUUGACGGGGGCCCGCACAAGCGGAGGAACAUGUGGUUUAAUUCGAUGAUACGCGAGGAACCUUACCCGGGCUUGAACUGCAGCGGAAGGAUACAGAGAUGUUGACGCCCUUCGGGGCCGCUGUGGAGGUGCUGCAUGGUUGUCGUCAGCUCGUGCCGUGAGGUGUCGGCUUAAGUGCCAUAACGAGCGCAACCCUUUUCAUUAGUUGCCAUCAGGUGAAGCUGGGCACUCUGGUGAUACUGCCACCGUAAGGUGUGAGGAAGGUGGGGAUGACGUCAAAUCAGCACGGCCCUUACGUCCGGGGCUACACACGUGUUACAAUGGGGAGUACAGAGAGUCGAGUGCCGGCAACGUCAUUCCAAUCAACAAAGCUCUCCUCAGUUCGGAUUGGGGUCUGCAACCCGACCCCAUGAAGCUGGAUUCGCUAGUAAUC